UGCAUAUCAAAAAGCGGAGGAAAAGAAACCAACAGGGAUUGCCUUAGUAGCGGCGAGUGAAGCGGCAAAAGCUCAAAUUUGAAAUCUGGCUCUUUCAGAGUCCGAGUUGUAAUUUGAAGAAGGUAUCUUUGGGUCUGGCUCUUGUCUAUGUUUCUUGGAACAGAACGUCACAGAGGGUGAGAAUCCCGUGCGAUGAGAUGAUCCAGGCCUAUGUAAAGUUCCUUCGAAGAGUCGAGUUGUUUGGGAAUGCAGCUCUAAGUGGGUGGUAAAUUCCAUCUAAAGCUAAAUAUUGGCGAGAGACCGAUAGCGAACAAGUACAGUGAUGGAAAGAUGAAAAGAACUUUGAAAAGAGAGUGAAAAAGUACGUGAAAUUGUUGAAAGGGAAGGGCUUGAGAUCAGACUUGGUAUUUUGUAUGUUACUUCUUCGGGGGUGGCCUCUACAGUUUAUCGGGCCAGCAUCAGUUUGGGCGGUAGGAGAAUUGCGUUGGAAUGUGGCACGGCUUCGGUUGUGUGUUAUAGCCUUCGUCGAUACUGCCAGCCUAGACUGAGGACUGCGGUUUAUACCUAGGAUGUUGGCAUAAUGAUCUUAAGUCGCCCGUCUUGAAACACGGACCAA
Molecule: ribosomal RNA, 616 nt
Filed under: Candida tropicalis
Lineage: Eukaryota; Fungi; Ascomycota; Pichiomycetes; Serinales; Debaryomycetaceae
Description: eukaryotic LSU rRNA
Rfam family: Eukaryotic large subunit ribosomal RNA
Source: RNAcentral